This 381-nucleotide ribosomal RNA is filed under the name uncultured cyanobacterium. RNAcentral's name for it is "bacterial SSU rRNA". It matches the Rfam family "Bacterial small subunit ribosomal RNA", at positions 376 to 770 of the family's 1533-position model. The record is from RNAcentral. Lineage: Bacteria; Bacillati; Cyanobacteriota.
CGAAAGCCUGACGGAGCAAUACCGCGUGAGGGAAGACGGCCUAUGGGUUGUAAACCUCUUUUCUCAGGGAGGAACUCAAUGACGUGUACCUGAGGAAUAAGCAUCGGCUAACUCUGUGCCAGCAGCCGCGGUAAUACAGAGGAUGCAAGCGUUAUCCGGAAUCACUGGGCAUAAAGCGUCUGUAGGUGGUUUGAUAAGUCUGCUGUUAAAGACUAGGGCUUAACCCUAGGAAAGCAGUGGAAACUAUUAGACUUGAGUAUGGUAGAGGUAGAGGGAAUUCCUAGUGUAGCGGUGAAAUGCGUAGAUAUUAGGAAGAACACCAAUGGCGAAAGCACUCUGCUGGGCCACAACUGACACUGAGAGACGACAGCUAGGGGAGCA